UAACAGUAUACAGGGCUGCCUUGCUCUUCAAGAUGAGUUAGCGCUCCCUUGCCUUCACCUCUCACUGCCUGGCUGGGAAAGCCACUGGACCAAAAAGCAGGGCAAGAAAUAAAUUCAUUCAUGGCAAAAGGCACAGGCAACUGGCCAGGCAGCCGCUGGUGUGAUGUCUACGUAGCACCGCGCCAUGGAGACGAGGCAGGGGAUUCCUGAGGUAACAAGGCUGAAGCUCAAGAGUGGAGCGGCGCUGGAUGGUGCCAGUUUUGCCCAUGAUGCAAGAGGUGGGAUUUCUGGGAGAAAUGGAAUAUUCCAUUUCCAUCCAUUCCCUUCCAUCCACGUGGGAUGAACCCGAUCAUCCACCUCAUUCAGCAUCCCCUUUCCGAAGUGACCAGCACCAGUGCUCCAGGGGAAGCUGUCAGAGCCCAGAGGGGGCAGGUAUGGAAUAAGCA
Long non-coding RNA from Struthio camelus australis, 446 nucleotides. Lineage: Eukaryota; Metazoa; Chordata; Aves; Struthioniformes; Struthionidae. The record is from Ensembl.